CGUAGGUGAACCUGCGGAGGGAUCAUUUGGCCCGCUACCCGGGUCUACACCGGGAUGUUCAUAACCCUUUGUUGUCCGACUCUGUUGCCUCCGGGGCGACCCUGCCUUCGGGCGGGGGCUCCGGGUGGACACUUCAAACUCUUGCGUAACUUUGCAGUCUGAGUAAACUUAAUUAAUAAAUUAAAACUUUUAACAACGGAUCUCUUGGUUCUGGCAUCGAUGAAGAACGCAGCGAAAUGCGAUAAGUAAUGUGAAUUGCAGAAUUCAGUGAAUCAUCGAAUCUUUGAACGCACAUUGCGCCCCCUGGUAUUCCGGGGGGCAUGCCUGUUCGAGCGUCAUUUCACCACUCAAGCCUCGCUUGGUAUUGGGCAACGCGGUCCGCCGCGUGCCUCAAAUCGACCGGCUGGGUCUUCUGUCCCCUAAGCGUUGUGGAAACUAUUCGCUAAAGGGUGCUCGGGAGGCUACGCCGUAAAACAAACCCAUUUCUAAGGUUGACCUCGGAUCAGGUAGGGAUACCCGCUGAACUUAAGCAUAUCAAUAAGCGGAGAGAA
This 551-nucleotide ribosomal RNA is filed under the name Cladosporium cladosporioides. RNAcentral describes it as "eukaryotic LSU rRNA". The stretch from base 185 to 338 matches the Rfam family "5.8S ribosomal RNA". The record is from RNAcentral. Lineage: Eukaryota; Fungi; Ascomycota; Dothideomycetes; Cladosporiales; Cladosporiaceae.